RNAcentral lists this ribosomal RNA (447 nucleotides) under uncultured organism. RNAcentral describes it as "partial 16S ribosomal RNA". It matches the Rfam family "Bacterial small subunit ribosomal RNA", at positions 333 to 797 of the family's 1533-position model. The record is from RNAcentral.
ACACUCCUGCGGGAGGCAGCAGUGGGGAAUAUUGGACAAUGGGGGCAACCCUGAUCCAGCCAUGCCGCGUGAGUGAUGAAGGCCCUAGGGUUGUAAAGCUCUUUUGUGCGGGAAGAUAAUGACGGUACCGCAAGAAUAAGCCCCGGCUAACUUCGUGCCAGCAGCCGCGGUAAUACGAAGGGGGCUAGCGUUGCUCGGAAUCACUGGGCGUAAAGGGUGCGUAGGCGGGUCUUUAAGUCAGGGGUGAAAUCCUGGAGCUCAACUCCAGAACUGCCUUUGAUACUGAGGAUCUUGAGUCCGGAAGAGGUGAGUGGAACUGCGAGUGUAGAGGUGAAAUUCGUAGAUAUUCGCAAGAACACCAGUGGCGAAGGCGGCUCACUGGUCCGGUACUGACGCUGAGGCACGAAAGCGUGGGGAGCAAACAGGAUUAGAAACCCCGGUAGUCCC